This is a long non-coding RNA of Melopsittacus undulatus (budgerigar), 600 nucleotides long. RefSeq lists it as uncharacterized. The record is from RefSeq and is a predicted model, not a curated record. The transcript is spliced from 2 exons. Lineage: Eukaryota; Metazoa; Chordata; Aves; Psittaciformes; Psittaculidae.
GUGGAGCAAGUUCUGGUUGUGAAAGAUUCUGGUCAUCAAGUUAAUCUGUUGUCAUCAGCUCCUGGGGCUGACUUUUGGAAGCAUAUAAAAGCCUCCUAUUUGGGAGGCUUGUUAACUUGAGUGCCUUCUUCUUCUCGUCUUCUAACAGCAGGAGACAUCAGGUUUAGCAAAGAUGUCUUCCCACCAGCAGAAACAGCAGCUGCAAAUACCUUCAAAAUGCCAGGAAAAGUGUCCUCCAAAGUGUGUGGAGCAAUCCCAGGCCCCAAAAGGGCAAGCCAAGUGUCCUGUGAAGAGCAUCCCACAGCAGCAGCAGCAGCAGCAGCAGUGCCCAAAGCAGAAGUAACAUUAACAGCAGUGGCUACAAAGUGCCAUGGAAGAUACAAAUACUUAUUUCCAGGCUUUCCUUUCUUGUGGCUCUGCCAGAAUAGCUAAAAAUUGUCAGCACACCUCUUCUGUUUGCAGGCAGAAAUUACUUUUCAAAGCGAUGCAAUUCAUUAAGUUGGAUUUAUUCAUCCUUUAAUAUAAAGAAUAAAUGUUGUGGGGCUAUUUUCUUCUCAUCUUUAUUUGGUUAUGCUGCAAUAAAAUUAUAAGUGACCUCAU